This 462-nucleotide long non-coding RNA is filed under the name Gossypium barbadense (sea-island cotton). RNAcentral describes it as "long non-coding RNA (GBAR_LNC019115)". Lineage: Eukaryota; Viridiplantae; Streptophyta; Magnoliopsida; Malvales; Malvaceae. The record is from RNAcentral.
GGAGAGAGCUUUCCUCGCUUUGAGGUCUUGCAUUUCGAUAAUAAAGUCUUACAAAAACAAAUCCUGACAGCUACAGUGUCAAUAAUGAUUCAAAACAAACAAAAGCUCCAGCACAAAGUUAAAGAAUGAAGAGCAGUAGGGAGUAGGGCUUCCACCAUAGAUGUCACUCACAGACAACACUAUUACAUGUAAAAGAAUUCUACUCAGAUUUGCUAUUCUAGAGGUUCGAAUCCACUGGCAACUAAAAAUCUUUGAAUUUCAGGCAUCUAGUCUAGGAAUGGAAGUUCUGUCAUUUGGAAUUGGCUUGUAUCUACAGAUGUUACUCGGACAGGUUUGUUACUUUGUGUUUUUUGCGGCAACUAAGAUGGAGCUGAAGCUGAAGUAUUAUUUUAAUUUUUGGUUGCAAUCAUCUGCAUUUGCUGCUUUUUUUAAUGUAAUAAAUGAAUGAAAAUAUGCUCUUUU